Molecule: long non-coding RNA, 1016 nt
Filed under: Cyanistes caeruleus (blue tit)
Lineage: Eukaryota; Metazoa; Chordata; Aves; Passeriformes; Paridae
Description: lncRNA (ENSCCEG00000007439.1)
Source: RNAcentral
UCCCGUACUACUGCCCCCCGGGCAGUGCCCAGCCGGUGCCCUGCGAAGGAGGGCACAUGGCCCUCAGCCUGCCUGGCCUCAGGGGCUCAGCUGAGAGAUUCUGCAGAGUUUGUGCUGCAGGGACCUUCCGCAGUGACCCCCUGAUCUCAGCGCCCUGCCAGCCCUGCCCAGCUGGCUUCACCUGCCCACCAGGUGCCACCAGCUGUACCUGCCAUGGGCUGAACAGAGCUUUCCAGCACUCAGAUGCCUCCUGCAUCUGCCAGGCAGGUUAUGUUUAUUAUGAUGAAAGAGGCAAGAAAGAUCCCGACAGCAACAGUGAUCAGGAUUGCCGACCUCAGGUGGAUGAGCUGUGUGCCCCUGGCGAGGUCCGGCUGGCGUCCACGCGCCGCUGCGCCGUCCCCGAGCGCCACGACUGCGCUCCCACCUGCGGGCCUGCGGGAGGGGAGCUCCACGCACAGCUGGGCAUAUGUCGCUGCAAGCAGUACGUCUCUGCUGAGGAGCUCUGUGACCAGCUGUGCCUGCUGAGAGCCCCACGCCUCUCCCUGGGCUUUGGCACCCACAGAGAGCUGCUGCUGAGGAUGAACCAGGGGCAAGCGAGGGAGGUGUCAAACGUCCUGGGCCCAGAUGAGCACGUGCAGAGCAGCCAGAGGGUGCAUCUGGUUCUGUUCAGUCCCCAGGGAGUGCUGGGUUUCAUUGUCUCCAGCACAGAAAUUCUGGAUGCGUUUCUCACGGGAGAUUUUUCCUCAGAUCAGCUGCUGCAGAAAGGGCACAGAGUGCAGAGGAGUUCCCCCAAAGACAGCCAGGCCUUGCCCCUCAUCCCUAACCCAGUGGUGUGUCUGGAAGCAGGGGAUACGAUCCUUUUCCAGCUCAGCAUCAAUUCCCAGGACCGUGCCUCCAGCCACUACCCCGUUUACCAGAAGCAACAUCUCUACAACAACAACCCAGGCUGGGAUUUCGGACCCUUCCGGAGGCUGGACCACCUGAUCCGGGAGACUCAGCUCAACAUCUCCUGGUAA